Molecule: long non-coding RNA, 579 nt
Organism: Hermetia illucens (black soldier fly)
Lineage: Eukaryota; Metazoa; Arthropoda; Insecta; Diptera; Stratiomyidae
Exons: 3
Source: RefSeq, a predicted model, not a curated record
UGGCAGUUCUCAGUUCUCAGUAGUUGUUAGUGUUCUAGUGGCGGAUAGUUGGCUUCAAGUGCGCUUUGCCGCGGCAACGUGGUUAUAGUUCUCAUAGCCAAGUUGUCGCACGCGGCGGCAUUUUCUUUGGGGAACGCUUGCCAAGCAAUACAGGCUUGCGGGGUUCCAAACACCUAUACAUAGCGGCAAAGAUGCCGGGAAGCGAAAUAAUAUUUGCACAAAACAGUGGAACAGUCCGCGGUGAAAUUUUCAAUUAGUUCAGAGAAAAAGCACAAAUGACAGAAGAAGGCACGAAGGACAUCAUAUCAAAAAUGGCACCCAAACUACGUACACAUAACUAGUCACUUCAACCUUUUUUUUCAAAAGUGAUUCAUGAUUAUGUACAACAAGAAAAAUACGACUGUAUAAGUCAAUCGGCAGAUGUUACCGGCGCCCUUUAUAUACUCAUAGUUUCCGACGUGAUUGCAUUUAAACUGGAUGACCCUAUUUGCCAAUGAGUUCAGUGUGAAACCUAUCAUGUUUCUCUUUGUGAUGUUAUAUUAGCUUUAAUUGAUUCAAUAAAGGGCAUGGUCAAUUUAA